AACGCUGGCGGCGUGCCUAAAACAUGCAAGUCGAGCGGCAUCNUGUCCUUCGGGAUGAUGGCGAGCGGCGGACGGGUGAGUAACGCGUAGGAAUCUGCCCCAAAGUGAGGGAUAACUCCGGGAAACCGAAGCUAAUACCGCAUAUGGUCUUCGGAUUAAAGCCUUCGGGCGCUUCGGGAGGAGCCUGCGUACGAUUAGCUAGUUGGUGAGGUAAAGGCUCACCAAGGCGACGAUCGUUAACUGGUCUGAGAGGAUGAUCAGUCACACUGGAACUGAGACACGGUCCAGACUCCUACGGGAGGCAGCAGUUAGGAAUCUUCCACAAUGGGCGAAAGCCUGAUGGAGCAACGCCGCGUGCAGGAUGAAGGCCUUCGGGUCGUAAACUGCUUUUAUGUGCGAGGAAUAUGACGGUAACACAUGAAUAAGGAUCGGCUAACUCCGUGCCAGCAGCCGCGGUCAUACGGAGGAUCCGAGCGUUAUCCGGAGUGACUGGGCGUAAAGAGUUGCGUAGGGGGUAGUUUAAGCAGGUAGUGAAAUCGUGUGGCUCAACCAUACGGCUAUUAUCUGAACUGAACCACUUGAGAACAUAAGGGGUAGAUGGAAUUCCCAGUGUAGGAGUGAAAUCCGUAGAUAUUGGGAGGAACACCGAUAGCGUAGGCAGUCUACUGGUAUGUUUCUGACCCUGAGGCACGAAAGCGUGGGGAGCGAACCUGAUUAGAUACCCGGGUAGUCCACGCCGUAAACGAUGGAUGCUAGCUGUAUGCCGUAUCGACCCGGUGUGUAGCGAAGCUAACGCGUUAAGCAUCCCGCCUGUGGAGUACGGUCGCAAGACUAAAACUUUAA
This 843-nucleotide ribosomal RNA is filed under the name uncultured bacterium. RNAcentral's name for it is "bacterial SSU rRNA". It matches the Rfam family "Bacterial small subunit ribosomal RNA", at positions 32 to 905 of the family's 1533-position model. The record is from RNAcentral.